Molecule: long non-coding RNA, 2869 nt
Organism: Sinocyclocheilus rhinocerous
Lineage: Eukaryota; Metazoa; Chordata; Actinopteri; Cypriniformes; Cyprinidae
Exons: 7
Source: RefSeq, a predicted model, not a curated record
UCACAGAAUUAGAAAUGCCAUUAAACUUCAACAUGCUUAUAUACCGUCAUACAUAUAUUUGCAUCUACAUGACUUUUGAUCUGUAAAGCUUCAAUUAACGUUUCCAAAUCAAUGUUAUUAUUGAAGUGUUUGUUACCCAAUAUUCACUGCGGUAAUCAUUGUCGAGGUUUUAGUCGGAGAGAAGCAGGUGAGUUUGAAAUCAUCUGUGAGCUCAAACUUUUUAUGAAGUACUUUAUACUCACUUCCAGCUGCAAAAUACAAAUUCCCUCUCAACUGAUACACAUGCUGAGCGAAAUAAAGCUUAAACAUGUUUUACACGGUGAUUUUCCCUCAGCAGGCAUGUGGAAAUGGGCGUUGAUGGAACAAACAGACGCGAAAGUCCACAUCCAAGCGUCCCUCGUUCCAAAAUCGCUGUUAUAUCGUUCCGCAUACAAACUUAAUUUACAUUCCGAAAUUCCAGUCGGUGAUUUUGACACUUCUCAAGUUGCUUUCCCUCUUUACAUGUGUAAAUAAAAUGGUGGAAAGCGGAGCGUCUAGUGCGUAACCGAGCGUAAUCCAAGAAGCGGCACGACGCGCGAGGAUACACAACACAGAUGCGAUCAAAUGAGUUCACGGAGUUUACCGUGGGGUUCGGCUCUCUCUUUGUCCCACAGCACAAUAAUCCUUCACCAGGACGCCCUUAAAUUUACUGGAACGCUGAGGGAACUGGUUCAGAGAUUCCAGACGGAUCUCAAACACUGAACAGAAGUACUGCAAGUCUCUGAAAUGACCUCCUGCUGUUUUUAAGCUUUGGAUGAAGAGUGGCCCAAACAGAAGGACUCGCUUUACAAGGCUGUCAAAGACGCAAGCGCCAGCUGCGAGAGAAGACCUGAAACGAGUGCGUGGAGCUGGAGAGAUUUCAUGGGCUCCAUCUUCACCGGAUCAGGUGCACGAGUGGGACGCGUCCCUCCAGAAGCGUUUGCGAGCUUGAGAGCCCGGUUUCGCUUGGAUGAUGCCAGAGGUCAAGGGUCAGCAGCAGUUAAUAAGAGGAGCUGUCUGAGGUCCCAGGGGUCAUUCCCAAGGGUCUGACCCGCUUGUCGGCAACACUUAAUAAAUGGUCUAAAAGGCUUCAGAUAUAAGACAGUCGACAUCUACAAGAUGGUGGCAGCCGCCAUUUUGUGAUGUGCGGGGCCUCAGAGAGGUGAAGUAUAUUUGCUGAGCGGCUGAGUGCACCUUGACCCGCAGCCCACGCUGGCGCAGCUCCAGGCCGAAAACCUGCUGGAUUUGCCAUUUGGAAGUACUGACCUGCGACUUACCCGUUCCCGAUCCAUUCGGACAGGGGAUUCAGGAGUGAAGCUGCUCCGCUCUGGGACAGGUGCCAAUUGCUCACAAAAGGCGAGUGAAAAUAUCAGUGAUCUGCAAAAGGAAACGUCGGGGGUGAGUGGAAAACGCAAACUCGCAUGCGUCCGUGCAACUAACACAGAAAAAAGUGAAGGAUGGUUGCGAGGGGAGUGGAAGACCCCGAAAAAGAGGAUCGUGAAAGAGGAGGUGGGGGGCGUUUAUUCAAGCCUGCUUGAUGCUCCUCGGGCCUUCGAGAGCCGAUCGCAUGUGCCGUGGUAACCGCGGGACCAUUUGCAUGCGGCAGACACGCUAAUUGUGUGUUUGCUAACACGCACCAUUCAGCGAGACGCGCUCCGGUCCGCAGACGGGGUUCACACACGCCUCCCAGACGCCCCGGAGGCCUCCUAUUGUUCCAGAGGCCCAGCCGGCGAGCCUAACCAGAGCCCUGCGCAGGCCUGCCGAGAGGGGGAACUGGAAUUCGAGACCAGACGGGAUAGCUGAACGGGACGAACUCGCAGCCCCUCUCUCUCUUUCUCUCCGCAGCAAGAAAAAAGAGGCCUCCGGACGCUGACGUCCUCGCAGAUAUGUGCAAAAGUAAAGUUUGAAAUGGACUAACCAAGAUGCAGCCCUGCACAGGAACUUGACAAACAUGUUCACUAUGAAUCAUCAUUACAAGGAAAGAGCAGAAAGAAGAAAUUCUCCUGAAGUGUUUGACGGACAUGCGGGUGAGUGAAUAAGUGUGGUUCUGUGGCUUUAAGGCUUCUGGCGUGGCGUGGGGUACAGUACACGAGACUGUAAGCGGCAGAGAGUGGGCUUGUCAGGUGCUGCUGGCAAAGGUUAGCGCUCCGCUUUAAUAACAGGAUGCAGCUGCUCUCCGUCAUGAAUACACCAGACUGACUCUGACCAGAGACACGGACCAUAAGUCUUUUCUGGCCUGUCACUAAAUCGCUUUUUCACAUUGUAUCAGUUACAGGGAACUAAGGAAGCUCUGGCGUUAACAAGACUAGUUUGGCCGAAAAGCGGUUCAAUUGAGGUUACGCCGAGUCGCUGGUGGAACAGCUUUGGCCGGGAGCCUCCAUUGGCCAUUGUCUCGCAGUUAUGACAAAUACGGUGAACGUUUGGGGAAAUUAUGAACAAAUAAGGUGGAAACAGUUGCUGGGAUGAUAGCAGGGAGGAAAUCGGAGCGUAUUGUAGGUGUGAACCUGAUCCGGCCCUCAUCGGUUGAUCAUUGCUCCGCAUUCCUCGGCUCUUUGAAGCCUGCGGCCCGACGAAACCCUUCCCAGAGGCUCAUUGUCUUGCGUCGAGCUCUGGAGUGACAAUCCUGUGCAGCUGAUCUGACUCAUUAUGGAGUCGUGCUGCUGUUUAGUGAUGUCUCCACCACCGGAGACACCGUCUAGUGCUCUGGACAGAACAAGCACGCAUUUUUUUUUAAAGAUGCCAUAGUAAAGAAAACGCUCGCGAAAAUAGUAAUGAGAUUAAAUAGGCUAUCCAGACCUGUUUAAUGUGCAUUUAGUAAAUGAUUUGGUAAAUGUGUUUUUAUCCUAGUUUA